RNAcentral lists this ribosomal RNA (460 nucleotides) under uncultured bacterium. Its description in RNAcentral is "partial 16S ribosomal RNA". It matches the Rfam family "Bacterial small subunit ribosomal RNA", at positions 338 to 795 of the family's 1533-position model. The record is from RNAcentral.
CCUACGGGAGGCAGCAGUGAGGAAUAUUGGUCAAUGGGCGCGAGCCUGAACCAGCCAAGUCGCGUGAGGGAUGACGGUCCUACGGAUUGUAAACCUCUUUUGCCGGGGAGCAAGCGUGCGUUCGUGAACGCGCGUCGAGAGUACCCGGAGAAAAAGCAUCGGCAAUCCCGGGGCCAGCAGCCGCGGUAAUACGGAGGAUGGGAGUGUUACCGGGAUUUAUGGGGUUUAAGGGGUGGGAGGGCGGGAGGCCAGGUCACUGGGAAAUAUGCGGGGCCAAACCGCGCCGAGCCGUGGGAACUGGCGUGCUUGAGUGGGCGAGAAGUAGGCGGAAUGCGUGGUGUAGCGGUGAAAUGCUUAGAUAUGACGCAGAACCCCGAUUGCGAAGGCAGCAUGCUGGCGCCCUACUGACGCUGAGGCACGAAAGCGUGGGUAUCGAACAGGAUUAGAUACCCCUGUAGUC